This 298-nucleotide long non-coding RNA is filed under the name Phoenix dactylifera (date palm). RNAcentral describes it as "long non-coding RNA (PDAC_LNC007650)". The record is from RNAcentral. Lineage: Eukaryota; Viridiplantae; Streptophyta; Magnoliopsida; Arecales; Arecaceae.
AUAAGUGCUAAAUAAUGCAUAAAUUAAUAUCUUAUUCAUAGCACUUAUCAUUAUUUUAAUUCAUAUAUUUUGUAAAUUCAACUAAAAAUUUGUGUUACCUUCAUCAUUGCAUUUUAAUUAGAAAUAAUUCAAGUUUGAUUAUUUUUAUUGAUCGAAUCUAAUCUAUGCAGGUCGAGUCUAACUUAUUUGGGAUGAUCACUGAACCUGAAUCGCAUGCACCCCGUGAAUCGGACCCUCUCAGAUUUCCGAUUCAGUCUAACUCAUCUGUUUCUUUCACAUCCAAUCGAGUUCAACCUUU